Molecule: long non-coding RNA, 1582 nt
Organism: Microplitis mediator
Lineage: Eukaryota; Metazoa; Arthropoda; Insecta; Hymenoptera; Braconidae
Exons: 3
Source: RefSeq, a predicted model, not a curated record
AAUCUGGGUCUGGACAAAAUCUAGCUUCAGCUAUUACUACAACAGUAAAAGAAUGGAAUAUUAAUACUGAUAACAUCAAAGCAUUGUGUUCUGAUACUACGGCGUCAAAUACGGGAAUCAGAAAUGGUGCGUGUGUAUUAGUAGAAAAGGCUCUGAAUCGAAAACUGUGAUACUUGCCAUGUCGACACUAUAUUUUUGGAAUUGUUCUUCGAAGUGCAUUUGAAAUAUACUGGCCUGCUUCAUCUGGCCCAAGCGUUCCAAUCUAUCAGAGAUUUAAAAAAUAAAUGGGAUAAAAUUGAUCAAUCCAACUUUACGGCUGGUAUUUGUGACAAAGAAGUUUUGGAAGUUAUAACACUAAUCAAAGAUGACAUUUUGAAGUUCGUUAAUGAUCAAAUAGAAAUGGAUCAUUGUCGAGACGAUUACCGUGAACUUCUGCAAUUAUCAUUGAUAUUUUUGGGUGUUACUACCACAAAUAUUACGUUUAAGCGUCCCGGAGCCAUCCAUCAUGCAAGGUGGAUGGCUAAAGCAAUAUAUAGUUUAAAAAUUUUUUUAUUUAGAAAUGUAUUUCAUCUCACUAAAUCAGAAAUAACUGGGUUACGAGAACUUAGUUUAUUUAUCAUAAUAUUCUAUUUAAAAGCUUGGUUUACUGCGCCGUGUGCUAUAACAGCGCCUAAUAAUGAUUUAAGUCUAAUUAAAGAAUUAAUUUCAUAUAAAAAAUUUAAUAAAACUAUUUCACGGGUAUGCUCAGAAAAAUUAGCCGAUCACUUGUGGUACUUAAACAACGAGUUGUUUGUUUUAUCUCUCUUUGACAAAACUGUUUCAGUUGAAACAAAAAGAAGAAUAGUUCAUACUUUCAAAACCUGUAAAACCAAUGGAACUACAACGGAUCGCUUUAUAAUAGAUAAGAAAAACUUAAAGUCAUUAUUAAAUAGAGAUCUUAGUCAAUUUGUAUCUAUGAGAUCGAUAAAUCUGUUUGAAUUGUUUAAUUUGUCGUAUGAUUUCAUUGAUGAGGAUGUAACUUUGUGGCCUCAGAAUCUAAAUUUUAUAGAAAACUUGGAGUAUUUUGAGAAACUUCAAGUUGUAAAUGAUGUGGCAGAACGCGGCGUGGCAUUGAUAGAGCAGUAUAUAAUCGAUGCUUAACCAAAAAUGAAGAACAGCUUCAGUAUUUAUUGCAAGUAGUGACAGAACACAGAAAACGAUAUCCUAAUUGCAAUAAAAAUAAUUUUAUAAAACUGUAAUAUUUUCGAGUUAGAAAAAAUUUUAUGACUUGUUAAAUAUUGAUUUUUCUUAUAAAGAAUUGAUUGUUCGAUAAAAUUUAUUAGUAUUUAGCAGAGAAAAUAAAAUAAAUUUGUUAUUAAAGAAGCCCAAAAAUCAUUUAUUUGAUAUUUUUAACCUUUAUAUUUAUGUAUUUGUGCUUUUUGUGAGUUACGUAUGGAGUAAAUAAGCAAAAAUAAAGUUCAAAAACUCACAUUAACAGAAUUCAAGUGAUUUUACAAAAAAUAUAUAAUCUAAAUAUAGAGUAUGAUUUUUUUUUGCAGUUUUAUUGGAAAAUAUUUGAAAUUUUUUAUUAGUAUUAUUUUUG